Molecule: long non-coding RNA, 2525 nt
Organism: Rhipicephalus microplus (southern cattle tick)
Lineage: Eukaryota; Metazoa; Arthropoda; Arachnida; Ixodida; Ixodidae
Gene: Usf
Source: RefSeq, a predicted model, not a curated record
UCGUCCGUACACCUUCACAGCAAGGGCGGUAUCCUGGCAAAGGCCUGUGACUACAUUCAGGAAUUGCGUGCAAGCUGUGCACGACUGCCUGAGGUACUGAAGGAGAACGAGCGGCUGGCUUUGGAUUUGGAUUUGCUGCGACAACAGUGUGAACAGCUCAGGGCCACCAAUCAGCUUCUGAAGGCCCACCUAGAGCAAAGUGGUAUCACUGUCACCGAAGUUGAACACACGUCCUAACAAGAGCUCCUUGGCAGACUAAAGAAGCACGUCUAUGAAGAUAAAUAAAGCACCCAAGUGAUACGUCAUUAUCCAGCUUUAGUGAGUGAGAAGCAAACGUUGGCUGUGCAGGACAAGUAGGCUGACGAAAUCCGGGACAUAGACCAUAGACAAGCAUGUUUGCAAGUCGUGACCCGUGGCAAAGCAUCUCCCACUUCCCGCAAUGUUGCGGAUUCCCUGGACUCCUUUCCCCACGCUUGGCCUUUUAGGAAGGACAGGAUUACAUAGACAGCUUCUGGUGGUUCAACGUGCCUGACCUGCAACCACCUUCCUUUUGUGUGCAUCAAAAGAACUCUCUUGCAAAGUGGUUGAUUCUUCACUUCCUUUUUUUAUGGAUGCCACGUCCCUGGCGCAUUUGCUCUGCGCAUCACAGUGACUUGUCUUGAUACGAAAAAGAAACGCAUCUUUUUUUUUCUCUCUCUUGGGUGAAACCUUGCUUCCAACCCGUUCAAAUGUUCGUGGUUGCAGGGGUUGGGAGUUACAGUUGUGUGUGUAUGCAUGGAUCAAUGUAAUUUGCCUUUUUGCCUUCGUGGCACUGCCUCAUUGAUAAAUUUGAAAUCGCCGUGCUAUGAGUGAUUUCGCAUGCACGACACAAUUAUAUGUUGUUGUUUUUUUUCCGUGCCAGUUUGAGUUGUAGCUUUUUCAUGCAGUUUGUUACAGAACAUCUUAAUGCAAAAGGCCUGUUAGGUAGCUUACCAUAUUUUCAUGGCUUCUGAGAUGUUCAGAAUUUUAUAAGAAAAGGCUGGAGCUUCGUUAGGCUUCGUUAAGGCAACGUGUGAUGCAGUGUCAUAGAAGCACAGUACCUGUUUGCACAUUGCAUCUAAGUUCCCCGUCUGACGUGUUCGAAGAGUUUAGUUCCGGGUGCCUUUGCGUUUGUACUGGUGUACUGAAAGGGAUGCUGGCAUCUAGUCAUUGCUCUAAUUUGUGCCUGCACGAGUUCGUUUUAUCGAUAGUAUUUGUACAGAAGUUGAAGUCAUGGUGGUGAACUCUGAGAACACUACAAUUGACUGUUCACUGUUGUCUUUGUCACUUUUUUUUUCACACUGUGCUGCUUUUUUUUUUUGUUUAAAAGAGUCGCUGAAUCUUCAAAGUAUGUAUGUUCAUGCCACUCUGUUCUCUUAAAUAAAGUGCUAGCGUGAAUGAAAUAAAGCCACUUGGCAUAUGUAAGGACCUUCUGCAUUGGGCUCCAAGUCGCCUGGCUCUUCGAGAUAGUUUUUGUAUCAGAUAGUGCAAAUGCACCAGCAUUGUCUCUUUAAAUGCUCUGUGAGGGCACAUUGUGCAUGCAUGUGUGGACUGUUUGAUCAGUGGCUUUGGUACCGCCAUCUCAGUCUAUUUUAGAAAGCAUUUGUACAACAAGCCGAAUGGUUGGUACAUUUGUAGCUUGUGAAUCAUAGGCAAGUCUUGCGGUAAUUCACUGAGGCAUGUGUUGGCCUUAAACCCACCUUGAAAGGGCCACGGUUGGAACAGCUUUGUGAAUUGUUUUAUCAUUGCUUCGGUGUACUUGCACACGCUCACGCUGCUACACCAGGUGAUGUGGAUGGGAAAAGCAGAGGCUUCGAUUAUGCAACAAUGUGUUGAAAUGAAAGCCACUUGUGUUACAAGACACUUCAGUUGGUUGAGAGGCUCUUUUUCCAUGUCCAUCCAACGUAGUUGGUCAUGGCAAGAAGAUUUCAGCGCAGUUUUUGUUUAGAAGCGCUGUGACGGGUUGCCUUCACCUAUGCUGCUUUUCCUGCCUAUAUUCUCCCGCAUUUCACUUUACGUUAAUGCAUCUAUGCUACUAUGGUAAGUGCUGUCAGCAGAUCCUGCACAGAGCUUCAUCGAAUGAUGUGACUGACAUGCAAAACUUUUGGCAGCACAGUAAGGAAUAAGUGGGCACUUAUUAUUUUUUUUUUUAUGUUGAUAUAGUGAGAGAAGCAUUGGCUGGAAAAGCAUUUUUGUACGACCUAUAUUAGGUAGUACAGUCUUGUCGUGAGCAUGUCUUCUAUUUUUUUUCUCCGCCACUGUUGUCUGUUUAACAGGUUUACCUUUCUGUUUGAGAAGGAACCUUUGUGGAUGUAGGCUUGUUUGCAAGCAUUUCACUGUUUGCUUUCUAUGGGCAUGUGGCUGGUGUAAGGCUGUUUGUUGUACUUUGGUCACUCUUGUGUCGUGACAUUGAUGCUUUCAAGCCUUGUUUUGUUCUUUUUUUCUGUGCUAGUGCAACACAUUGUUUUCAGAAAAAAAUGUCAAUAAAUGAAACAUGGUGGACUAAA